This 301-nucleotide ribosomal RNA is filed under the name uncultured bacterium. RNAcentral's name for it is "partial 16S ribosomal RNA". It matches the Rfam family "Bacterial small subunit ribosomal RNA", at positions 509 to 807 of the family's 1533-position model. The record is from RNAcentral.
CAGUCGCCGCGGUAAAACGAAGGGUGCAAGCGUUACUCGGAAUUACUGGGCGUAAGGCGUGCGUAGGUGGUGGUUUAAGUCCGUUGUGAAAGCCCUGGGCUCAACCUGGGAAUUGCAGUGGAUACUGGGUCACUAGAGUGUGGUAGAGGAUAGUGGAAUUUCCGGUGUAGCAGUGAAAUGCGUAGAGAUCGGAAGGAACAUCUGUGGCGAAGGCGACUAUCUGGGCCAACACUGACACUGAGGCACGAAAACGUGGGGAGCAAACAGGAUUAGAUACCCCCGUAGUCCCUGUCUCUUAUAC